UCCUCAAACUGUAAGACCAUUGACACUUUAGUCCUUAAACCUCAAUUCGUUAUAAUUUUUGGCUCGAACUUUCGGAUUUGUUGCAAUCAUUUUUUGCAAUUCAAAUUAGUUUACUAAAUUUUAACACAUCGUUAAUGUAAAACUGAAGUGGUAUCGUAAUUACUAGCACAUCAACAAUCACAAUACUAUUAUAUCACUUGUAUAUUAGCGAUAUAUCAAUCUUUCAUUAUCCAAAUUAGUUUAUAAAACUUUAUUGUAAUAAUUCUAAAAGUUCAAGCCAAAAUAUUACAACAAAUUAUAGAUUGAGGAUCAAAGUAUCACUAGCCUCAAAGUUUAAUUACAAAAAUACCCUCACAUGAAAUAACUUUUUAACCUGCUGUAUAAUGAAAUGAUAUUUUUAACCUUCAUUAAUCAACAAUUAAAAUUUUUUUUUUAUAAAAUAAAGUACCGAAUCAUUUCUCAAAACAAAAAACAUGUAAUUACAAAAGGAUCUCAU
This 496-nucleotide long non-coding RNA is filed under the name Ananas comosus (pineapple). RNAcentral describes it as "long non-coding RNA (ACOM_LNC021466)". Lineage: Eukaryota; Viridiplantae; Streptophyta; Magnoliopsida; Poales; Bromeliaceae. The record is from RNAcentral.